Molecule: long non-coding RNA, 7718 nt
Organism: Heterocephalus glaber (naked mole-rat)
Lineage: Eukaryota; Metazoa; Chordata; Mammalia; Rodentia; Bathyergidae
Source: Ensembl
AAAAAAGAAGAAUGCAUGUAGGGGAGUGGCCCCGAAGAGAAAGCAUACACUUCCUAUUUUCACUCCCUUUACUAUGCAGAUAUCUUCCUGAUCCACUUCCUGGCUCUCAGAGUUGUGUUCUGGAAGCCUCCUGUGGAUUUAAGGAAGUUACCUGCUCUUUAGGCAUUUUCUCUGCCAUUUCUGUCUUAUCUUCCCGUCUGUCUUCAGAACCCUUUGACACUGUUGCGAGGGACUGUGGAGAUCACCUCCAGCUCUCUCCUCCCAUUGCUCCAGGCCUUUCCCAUCAUGCCCUAGAGCAAAAGGGUUGUAUCUUGGCUAUGAUUUUCACAUUUCUGUACAACAUCCACUAGUAAAUGAGAAGGGAAUGAGGGUCACGAAGGUGGAUGUGAGUUGCUUAGGGCCACAUUUUAGCCUAGUAGUGGCGUCCUUUCUGUUUGGUACGUGGUGGGCUUGUGUUGCAUUUGAAGCUGUGACAGAGGCGAGGUGAGGCCAUGGGAUUCGUGGAUCCUCAAGUCAGUGUGGCAGUUGCUUUUCGGCCUCCUUGAAGCCAGGAACACAUCAAUUCUCUCAAAAGAGACUGAUUUCUCCCAGGAAAGGAUAUGGGGCUCACUAUCAUAAGAAGAGAUAGAGUGACUGGAAAGGGAUACCACUUUCUUUCUGUACCCAUAAUACUCCAUAUGUUUUUCUAUUAUUUACUGAUCUCAUUUUUAGUACUGGAGAUCGAACUCAGGACCUUGAGCUUGUGAGGCUGGCCCUGUGCCGCUGAGCUACAUCCCCGGCCCUGAUCUCAGGGUUGUAUCACAUUUAUUUACCAGGGGAAAUUUCACAAAUUCCACACAACAUAACUCUCCCACCCUAAGAUCCAGAAUCUAUCCUCUUCCCCUGCCCAGGACUACUGCAGGGAAAUUGAUACUGCUGGGAAUAUUUUGUGUCUGUAAGCUGCUCUGGGAAUGGAUAAACAUAUUGAGAACUUCUCAUUGCUUUUGAGUAGGAGUAUGGCUCAAGAAAAGCAUUGCUUCAAGAAGUUUAACCUGGUGGGGGUGUCCUGAUUGUAUUGGCAGGGACUGGAGUAAAAGAAUCAGUUACGAGAAAGUUGCCAUGUCAGGUAUGCCUUCAUGGACAUAGGGAAAAAGCACAUUGAAAUAAUAAUCAUUGAAUUAUUGAUGGGAUAUUAAGAUGGCUGAGCCCCAGAGAGUGUGGUUUAUGGAUAGAAGAGGAAAAUCUGGGGGAAGAGUGACUCAGAAGUGCAGAGGCUAAAUUAUGUCCUUGGCAACGAUGGUGGUGCUGUAAUCCUCCUCAGGGACAGCCCUUCCUUCAAGGGGUAUUGGUGCAGGGUUGAGAGGGCUUGAGAUACUCCCAAUUGUGUUUGCUGUUUGGAAACCCUCUGGGCUUUUUCCUUGCAAUUCUUCUUCCAGAAAGCCAGCUUGAUGCUGCAGUUAGGGCAGGAGGAAAAAGUUUCAGGUGGGAUCAGCUGGUAGGGGAGGAUGAGAUCUGACCUUCGGUGGCAGCCUGAUGUUUUGGGACCACAGAAACAGGCUCACCCCUGUCUUCCAAGCCUGUGCAUCUGAUGACAGGAGAGACAAUGGGGGCAGUGGGUGGGAACCACUGUGACUUCCUGGAGUUAACAGGGUUGGGUAACACUGAAGGAUGAGCUCUUCCCCGGGGGGCCCAGCCCCGUGCACAGGUGGGGCUGCUCCUGCUGAGUGUGGGAGGGAGUUGUCCCAUUUUGGAUGAGCAGAGGGACCAGCGCCUACUACGCCUGCAUCCUUGAGUUUGGGUCUCUGUCUGCUGUCCUCUCUGUCCUCUCUGCAACAGCCCCAUCCCCGGAAGUCCUCGGCAGCAUCCACGUCUCACCCUACCUCGCUGAGACUUCUUCGCCUGCCGUGAGAACAGACGUCAGGUAGAACGUUUUCCAGUUAGACCCAUCAGUCCAAGGUGUGACUUACUGACAAAGGUGGCUCAGGCUGGUGGAGGGACUUGCAGUGCUCUUUACAUUAAAAUAUGCAUCUUAGGAGCUGGGGAAGUGUAGCUCAGUAGUAGAGCACUUGCCUAUGGUGUGCAAGGCCCUGACUUUGAUCCCUACUGCACGGGCUCAAGAACACCACACACACACACACACGCAUGCACGCACGCACGCACAAUUUGUACCUGUUGUCUGGGUGGAAUAUGGAAUUUUGUGUACUCUGGUGGGAAAAACUAACUUUUGAGAAAAUAUUUUCCCUUAUUAUUCUAACUAAUACAAUGAGACCAAAAGGUUAGCUGUAGCCAGAAAGAGGUGUCGAGGGCUCUGCAUUGCUCCAGGCCUUUCCCAUCAUGUCCUAGAGCAAAAGGGUUGUAUCUCGGCUAUGAUUUUCACGUUUCUGUACAACAUCCACUAGUAAGAUGUGCCCCUUACCCUAAGGAAGCCAUAUCUUAUAGGGCGGAAUGUAGGGGACAGGACACAAAUAAUUACCAGAUAGGAUGAAGAGUUUGAGAAUACAGAUUUAUAUAAAUCAUGUGAAGUACCGCAAAGGGAAACUAAUUUCUGGAGGAUUUAAGGAGAUUCCAUUUGAAUGGGGGAGAAGUGGAUAAGGUAUGGUGGUACAGGCCUAUAAUCCCAGCUACUUGGAGGCUGAGGCAGGAGGAUUGCAAGUUCAAGGCCAGCCUGAACAACUUAGUGAGACCUGUCUCAAAAUAAGAUAAAAAAGAGCUGGGGAUGGGAAAGCCUUCAAUGAUUCUGAUGAAUUUGGGCUUGGUCCCAAUGGAGUAGAUAGGAAAGGAGCCUGGUCAUAAGUUUUUUUGUUUUUCUAUACCAGGGAUUGAACUCAGGACCCAUCGCCUGCAAGGCAGGUGGCAGAACCACUGAGCCAAUCCCCCCGGCCCCUGAUCAUAAGUUUUAGCAAGUUAACUUUAUUGAUAGUGUACCAGAUGGCGUUUAGGGGAUUUGGAGGCAGAGAGAUGAGAAAGGGUUUGUAAGAGUCUGAGCGUGACAUGAGAAUAUCAAGAAAGUAGCAGUGUGGGAUACGAAGGAGAAGAUAGCAGAGGAAUGGAAGCAUUCAACCAUUGGCCACUGCAGGCUGGUGGUGCGGGGAGGUUGGAGAUGGCAUGAGGUUUCUAGCUUUGGCCUUUGAGGAACGCCAGUAACUGAUAUGUGAAUUCAAAGGAGAGCAGCCUUUGUAAGAAAGAUAAUGAAUUCGGGGUGAGGGAGCCUGGGCAGGAGGCACUUGGCCGUCUUCAGGUGUAGAUGUUCCAUUGUCAGUGUGGGUCUGGGAUUCGGAGUGAGACUGGCUGGCUUUGCAAGUCACUGACAAAGAGAAAUCAGGACUUGCUUGUGAUUUUCCUGAUGAGAACCAAGGGUAAAAUACUUGGGAAACUGCAACAUUUAAUGAGAAUCAAGAAAGCUUGAGAGGCAACACUAAAAGGAAAAAGACAACCAGUAGACAGAUGUUUGAAGAAGAUCAAAGAAGAGAUUUCAGGUAGGAUGGUCAGCAGUGCCAAAGAACACAGACUGGGGUGAGAUCUUUUCAGUUUGGCUUUUGAUAUGUAAAUGCUGUGUCUUCUGGAACUAGGGAAUGCAUCCUUUCAAAGGUACUAACUGAAAGUCUCUCAGUGUUUAUGGAUCAUAUAACAUGGGCAUUUGUGGAAGUUAAAGGAAAUGUUGAAACUGAUAUAAGAAUUGAGGAGAGAGCUGAAGGCCAAAGCUCAUCCAUCUUGGGCAGCAGUUGAAGCCUUAGAACAUCUGACUUUUGUGAAGGAAAGAAGGCUAAGACUGAGUGGCAAGAAAACCCUCGAAAUCAGGAUGGGCACAGAGCUAAAGGACUCAGUCAAUGCAGUGAAUGAGGAGGGACCUGGAAGGUUGGAAAAAACUCAGAAGGUGCAGUAUGAAUUGUAGCAUGGGUGAUUCACCUGGCCAAGGCUCCAGAAGAAGGUUCUCCCAGGUUUUAUUUUCAAAUUCUGUAGCGAUUGUGUAGAACGAGGGAAACCAUCUGUGAUGUCAAUACAAGAUCCUGAGAGAUCUGGGAGCAAGAGUUUCCUGGACAGUUUAGGGCCCCAAAGUGGGACUGCUUGUCAUUAGGGAAGGAAAGGGCAGGGAUAGAAUGGAGCCAUUCGUGUAUCUUACUGAGCAGGCAUACAAGAUGACAGAUGGUGAGGAGAGAAUCCAAGGGGGUGUGAAGACACACUUGCUGGGUGUACAGCUCCCUUGGAGACAGGAGCAGGCUGAGCUUUGGAGCUCUUUAGAGGUAUGUAAGAGAUGUUCCUGGGAAACAAGACAGGAACAUUCAGGGAGCUAGAAAAUGAGAUAGGUACUUGGAGAGAGAAAUUGGAAUGAAUAGUGAUCUAAGAAACAGGGAAGCAGGGCCAGGGAUUUAGCCCAGUGGUUCCAGCGCCUGCCUUGCAAGCUCAAGGUCCUGAGUUCAAUCCCCGGUACCAAAAAAAAAAAAAAAGAAACAGGGAACCCUCAGUUAUUGAGGGUUUGAGAAUACAAAUCUGUAUCAUCAAAUUCUUCACCCUAUCUUGUGAUUGCCUGUGUCUCAUCCUCCUAUCUUCUACCUGUAAGAUAUGGAUUUGUUGAGAGAAAGGACCGUAUCUUAAUGAUCUUUGCAUCCUCAGGACCCCCGUAAAACUACUUUAGGUGCAUAACUCACAUUUUAUCAUAGAGAAUUUAUACAGGACAGGUGGUGUCAUUAAACAAUACCUGAAGAAGUCUAUAGUUUAGAAGAAUCGAUGUGGGAAUGUGUAGGAAAGCGAAUGUUGGGGAAAGUGACCUUGAACCUCUGGGAGAAUGGCCCUCGCUGCUCCUAAACUGGCAUUCCAUGCUAGACAUGAGCACUGUGGUCACCAUGAGUCGGUGAUCCACUGACGGGUCACCUGUGGCUAGGGCUGUGGUGACUUUCUGGACCUGCAAAGCUGAAAGGAGCAGAUUCUGGACCACGGCAAGUUUUCCAAAGUAAUUCUAUGUUUGAAAGACCCAUUAAUGGUCAAUCUAGUCUCACUGGCAGACUUUUGUUUAUUACUGAUUCCCAUACCAAUCAUUAGUGGUUUUAAGGAUAACGCAGUAAGCAUUACUUUACAUAAACAGUUGGUAAAAUAAGUUAAUCACUGUAUCUGCUCAAGAAUCGAUGAUAAAAAAUAGGAAAAUAGGGGCCGGGGAUUUAGUUCAGUGGUUCCAUCCCCUACCUCGCAAGCGCAAGGACCCAAGUUCGAUCCCUGGUACCAAAAAAAAAAAGGAAAAUAAUUGUAGAGCAUGUGUAGACUAGAGAUAACAAAUGCCAAGUCUUUCUGCUGCCAUGCCUCUAUACCUACAGCUGAUGUUACUACUUAAUAAUGAAACUCUUUCCUGCUGAACCUAGACUUGCUGCUACAGAAUUCUUUCUUUCUUUCUUUCUCUCUCUCUCUCUCUCUCUCUCGUUUUUGAGACAGGGUCUCGCUGGCCUUGAACUCACUAUGUAGCCCAGGCUGGCCUUGAUCUUACUGAAAUCCUCCUGCCUCAGCCUCCUGAGUGCUGGGAUUACAGGCAUGUGCCACGAUAUUCAGCUUAGAAUUGUUUGUAAUAGCAUUAAUCAAGGAAGCCACAGCCAGCUUCCGGAGUUGGAUCCCUGUGAAUUAAAACUGUGCCCUUUCUAGCUUAGAUAGUUAGGGAGCCUGGCCAUCGGAAAUACAGAACUCGGCUGGAAAGCACCUAAAGGAUGGUUUACUUCUCAAAUUUAAUGUCACGGAGAAAUAUCGUGGUCAGAUAUCAAUGUCAAGGUCAAAAAUAUCCUUUCUGACGAAACGUCUCUGGACAUUCUGCCAGAAAGAAUAUUAUCCUGGACAAAUACACAAAUGGUCGAAUGCACUGAUCUCAGUCAUGAACGCAUUCACUGUCAGGCUGCAACCGUGCUAGGGCUUGCCAGGAAUCUCAGAGGUCAGUGUCACGUUUCCAGCUCCAGCCCCACCUCUUAUGGGAGCUAUGGUAAAUUAUUUAAGCUAUUUUAAUGCUCACAAAAGAAAUAACAUCUGGUUCAUUAAUUGAAGAUCAACAAUGUAGAUGUACAAAUCAUCUCACACGCGGCAUGUACUCAGCAAUGUUAGUUCCCUCUCACUUGUUAAAUAUUCAACACCAAGGAGAACUCCCUUACCAGAUAUCUCUGAUCGCUCCUCGAAUAUUUCUAGUCAUAUAGCACUCAUCAUUUUACAAGCCGUUCCGCUUUCCUGGUGUUUGGACUGUCAAGAAGUUGCCUUUAGAUUAAACUGAAAUCUGCCACACAGACCGUAGCUUUGCUGAUGGAGAGUCGUUUGGGUAUUUGACAAAGUACUAUGGAUUGAACCCGGGACCUUCUCACUGAGCUACAUUUCCAGCCCUAUAAUUUUGUUUUAUUUUUUAAUUUUGAGACAAGAUCUUUCUAAGUAGCUAAAUUGCCCAGGCUGGACUUGAAUUUGCAAUCCUCGUGCCUCAGCCUUCCAGUUACAGGAUUAUAGGCAUGCGCCACCACACUUGGCUGUGUAUUUGCCUUUAAUUCAUUAAAACUGAGGUUAUCUUCAAUAGACUGUGUGAAGACUUACGUGUGGUUGGUGCUCAACAGAUGUGUUGAAUAAAUGAAUAUACAAGUGAAUGAAUUUAUCAUACCAUAUAUAUGUAUAUAUAUAACUAUACAAACUAGAAGUUGUUUUUUAAAAAUUAUACUUCAACUGCUUAAAAUCAUAUUUGUAGGUAUGCUCACUUGAAGUGUGAAAUUGUGGCCGUAAGUGAUUUUUAAAAAUCCUGUAGGUUUUGAAAAUAAAAGUUUCAAGAUGGAUGCACUGUUCCCAGCAGACACGUGUGUCUGUCUGCACUUAGGAGGUGGGGUCCGAGUCAGCAGCUAGGACGGGCCUGUUCUGAGUGGCCCGUCACUCUAUCCUGUGGUUGUGGUGUUUUUCAUGCCUCCCAAGUGCUCCGCUACUGCCAUGCGUGUGACAUCAUCGUCGUCGCUCUGAGGAGCCGAGUCAGGCCAGCUGAGGAACCUGUACCGCUGAGUCGUGACUCAGUUAGCAGAGCCCAAGUCCUGUUCCUGCUCCUUUGGACCCUGUGGGCCACUCCCGAGUCCUUUAAACUGCUCUGAAUUUUGCAAACGCACCAUUGCAUGUGUGUGAAGCCUUGCACGUACUCAAAAUUUUCUUGUAAAUAAUUAGCACACACUAAUUUUAAAAAAGUUCCUGGCAUUAGGAGUGAUAAUCCCCAAGAGUGUUAAGGUUUUCCACAGCCUGUUCUCUGUGUUGCCAAGUGUUUACUGCGUGGUCCUCUCCUCCACGCGGAGCAGCUGCAUUUCAACAUGAGCCUCUUACAGAUCUGAAGGGCUGCGUGGUUUACGAAGUUCUUUCGCUGAAAGUGGCUCACGUGAUUCUCACAACAACUUCUGAUCUGGGGGUAAAUAUCAUCUUUCCCCACCAAAACCAAGGGAAUUAACUAAGGAGAAAUAUUUCAAGGGAAUGGAAUUAAUAUGAGAGAAUGAAAAAAUGGAAACAAAGCCUUUGGAAAUAGGGAGGGAUGGAGGGGUUGAAGGGAGGGCAGGGGAAAGGGGAAAAAUAAGAACCAAGAGAGACUAUGUAAAGGUGCAAAUUUCCAAUGAUGAAUGUCAUUAUACUGUACACCUAAAAUGUACCAAUAAAAUAAAAUUUAAAACAACAUUUCAGAUGGAAAAGAAAAUUGUGCAUCUGUUUUUCCAGUUGGGAAUUGCUUAGGAGUGUGUGUGGAAGGAACAAAAUGCCUGGGAGAAAUAUGC